UACGUAGGGUGCAAGCGUUGUCCGGAAUUAUUGGGCGUAAAGAGCUCGUAGGCGGUCUGUCGCGUCGGAUGUGAAAACCCAGGGCUCAACCCUGGGCCUGCAUUCGAUACGGGCAGACUAGAGUUCGGUAGGGGAGACUGGAAUUCCUGGUGUAGCGGUGAAAUGCGCAGAUAUCAGGAGGAACACCGGUGGCGAAGGCGAGUCUCUGGACAGUUCCUGACACUGAGGCACGAAGGCCAGGGGAGCAAACGGG
RNAcentral lists this ribosomal RNA (253 nucleotides) under uncultured bacterium. RNAcentral's name for it is "partial 16S ribosomal RNA". It matches the Rfam family "Bacterial small subunit ribosomal RNA", at positions 524 to 776 of the family's 1533-position model. The record is from RNAcentral.